GUGCGAACGUUGUUCGGAAUCACUGGGCUUAAAGGGCGCGUAGGCGGGUCAGCAAGUCCGGGGUGAAAUCUUUCGGCUCAACCGGAAAAGUGCCUUGGAUACUGCUGGUCUCGAGGGAGGUAGGGGUUUGUGGAACUUCUGGUGGAGCGGUGAAAUGCGUUGAUAUCAGAAGGAACGCCGGUGGCGAAAGCGACGAACUGGACCUCUUCUGACGCUGAGGCGCGAAAGCUAGGGGAGCAAACGGG
This 245-nucleotide ribosomal RNA is filed under the name uncultured bacterium. RNAcentral's name for it is "partial 16S ribosomal RNA". It matches the Rfam family "Bacterial small subunit ribosomal RNA", at positions 532 to 776 of the family's 1533-position model. The record is from RNAcentral.